Molecule: long non-coding RNA, 286 nt
Filed under: Phascolarctos cinereus (koala)
Lineage: Eukaryota; Metazoa; Chordata; Mammalia; Diprotodontia; Phascolarctidae
Description: lncRNA (ENSPCIG00000001664.2)
Source: RNAcentral
CUACCUGUUCGGGGUAUUGCCACCAUUCUGAGACUCAGCAGAUCCUCAUGUGAAAAGCUGAAAUGGGAAACAUGUACCUCAGAACUGAACAGAACUAAAAUUGUGACCUUCAGCUUCUCAGUCAGGUGCUGUGAGCAGUCUGCCUGUGUGUGCACUGGGAGGCAGGAGACAGACACCUCGCUUGCUGACAAGUCUUUGCACAGAUGAUACCUAUGUAGUGACCUCCCCCACCCCACCUUGUGAAUAGCAGUUGCAAAAUACCCAAGGUCUGCUUUAGUAUCUAAAU